GAUAAACGUUGGCGGUGCGCCUUAUGCAUGCAAGUCGUACGAAGUUAUAGUUUUCGGAUUGUAACUUAGUGGCGGACGGCUGAGUAACACGUAAGCAACCUACCUCUAAGUGGGGGAUAACCUGCCGAAAGGCAAGCUAAUACCGCAUAAUAUAGUCAAGGUAUACUUGAUUAUCAAAGCCUUAGGGCGCUUUGAGAGGGGCUUGCGUCUGAUUAGCUAGUUGGUAGGGUAAUAGCCUACCAAGGCGAUGAUCAGUAGCUGGUCUGAGAGGAUGGUCAGCCAGAUGGGGACUGAGACACGGCCCCAACUCCUACGGGAGGCAGCAGCAAGGGAUAUUGGGCAAUGGGCGAAAGCCUGACCCAGCGACACCGCGUGAGGGAGGAAGGCCUUCGGGUCGUAAACCUCUUUUCUCGAGGAAGAAUUUUGACGGUACUCGAGGAAUAAGUCUCGGCUAACUACGUGCCAGCAGCCGCGGUAAUACGUAGGAGGCGAACGUUAUCCGGAUUUACUGGGCGUAAAGAGAGCGUAGGCGGCUUUUUAAGUCAAGUGUGAAAGCUUCUGUCUUAAUCAGAAGAGGCCGCUUGAUACUGGAUGGCUUGAGGGCAGCAGAAGGAAAUGGAAUUCCCAGUGUAGCGGUGAAAUGCGUUGAUAUUGGGAAGAACACCAGUGGCGAAGGCGAUUUCCUAGGUUGUUACUGACGCUGAGGCUCGAAAGCGUGGGGAGCGAAGCGGAUUAGAUACCCGCGUAGUCCACGCCCUAAACUGUGGACACUAGAUAUGGGGGGUAUCGACCCCCUCCGUGUCGAAGCUAACGCCUUAAGUGUCCCGCCUGGGUACUACGGCCGCAAGGCUAAAACUCAAAGGAAUUGACGG
RNAcentral lists this ribosomal RNA (872 nucleotides) under uncultured bacterium. Its description in RNAcentral is "bacterial SSU rRNA". It matches the Rfam family "Bacterial small subunit ribosomal RNA", at positions 28 to 916 of the family's 1533-position model. The record is from RNAcentral.